Molecule: ribosomal RNA, 778 nt
Filed under: uncultured Neocallimastigales
Lineage: Eukaryota; Fungi; Neocallimastigomycota; Neocallimastigomycetes; Neocallimastigales
Description: partial large subunit ribosomal RNA
Rfam family: Eukaryotic large subunit ribosomal RNA
Source: RNAcentral
UUAUCUCUGUAGAGUCUGCAUAUCAAUAAGCGGAGGAAAAGAAACUAACUAGGAUUCCCUUAGUAACGGCGAGUGAAGCGGGAAGAGCUCAAAUUUGAAAUCUUCAAGGUUCUACCUUGACGAAUUGUAGUUUAAAGAAGUGUUUUCUGUUAGAGUGAGUAGCAAAAGUUCCUUGGAAUAGGACAUCAUAGAGGGUGAGAAUCCCGCUAUUUGACUUAUUCAUUCUAGCUUUGUGAUACACUUUCAAAGAGUCGGAUUGUUUGGGAAUGCAGUCCAAAAUGGGUGGUAAAUUUCAUCUAAAGCUAAAUAUUGGCGAGAGACCGAUAGCGAACAAGUACCGUGAGGGAAAGAUGAAAAGAACUUUGAAAAGAGAGUUAAACAGUACGUGAAAUUGUCAAAAGGGAAGCGUUUGACACCAGUGUUGUUUCUCCGAAAAUCAAUUACGAAUGGCUUGAUUCUGUGUUGUAUUGACCUUAUCAGCUUUCUUCACUUUUUUCGAGUCUUUCUUAAUGUACUUUUCGGUUAACAAGUCAACAUCAAUUUCUUUUGUUGUAAAAGAGUAUUCGGAAGGUGGCUUUCUUUUCGGAGAAAGUGUUUAUAGCCCUAUACUUCUACAAUCGGAGAGAUUGAGGUCUGCAGCGUAGAUCCUUCGGGGUUAGAUACACUUGUGCUAAGUUGUAGCUUUUCAUAGACAACUUGUUGACUAUGUUUAGUCAUGCGGCUUACUCGCUUGUGCUAUUUUACCUACGCUUAGGAUGUUGACGAGACUGUCGAUCUC